UGCGUAGGCGGCCUAUUAAGUCAGUGGUGAAAGGUAUCAGCUUAACUGAUGACGUGCCAUUGAAACUGACAGGCUUGAGUACAGACGAGGUAGGCGGAAUUUAUGGUGUAGCGGUGAAAUGCAUAGAUACCAUAAAGAACACCAAUUGCGAAGGCAGCUUACUAGACUGUAACUGACGCUGAGGCACGAAAGCGUGGGGAGCGAACAGGAUUAGAUACCCUGGUAGUCC
Molecule: ribosomal RNA, 229 nt
Filed under: uncultured bacterium
Lineage: Bacteria
Description: partial 16S ribosomal RNA
Rfam family: Bacterial small subunit ribosomal RNA
Source: RNAcentral